UGGGGAAUUUUGGACAAUGGGCGAAAGCCUGAUCCAGCAAUGCCGCGUGUGUGAAGAAGGCCUUCGGGUUGUAAAGCACUUUUGUCCGGAAAGAAAUCCUUGGCUCUAAUACAGUCGGGGGAUGACGGUACCGGAAGAAUAAGCACCGGCUAACUACGUGCCAGCAGCCGCGGUAAUACGUAGGGUGCAAGCGUUAAUCGGAAUUACUGGGCGUAAAGCGUGCGCAGGCGGUUUGCUAAGACCGAUGUGAAAUCCCCGGGCUCAACCUGGGAACUGCAUUGGUGACUGGCAGGCUAGAGUAUGGCAGAGGGGGGUAGAAUUCCACGUGUAGCAGUGAAAUGCGUAGAGAUGUGGAGGAAUACCGAUGGCGAAGGCAGCCCCCUGAGCCAAUACUGACGCUCAUGCACGAAAGCGUGGGGAGCAAACAGGAUUAGAUACCCUGGUAGUCCACGCCCUAAACGAUGUCAACUAGUUGUUGGGGAUUCAUUUCCUUAGUAACGUAGCUAACGCGUGAAGUUGACCGCCUGGGGAGUACGGUCGCAAGAUUAAAACUCAAAGGAAUUGAC
Molecule: ribosomal RNA, 566 nt
Filed under: uncultured bacterium
Lineage: Bacteria
Description: partial 16S ribosomal RNA
Rfam family: Bacterial small subunit ribosomal RNA
Source: RNAcentral